UUUUGCCUACGGGACGCAGCAGUAGGGAAUCUUCCACAAUGGGCGAAAGCCUGAUGGAGCAACGCCGCGUGGGUGAAGAAGGUCUUCGGGUCGUAAAACCCUGUUGUUAGAGAAGAAAGUGCGUGAGAGUAACUGUUCACGUUUCGACGGUAUCUAACCAGAAAGCCACGGCUAACUACGUGCCAGCAGCCGCGGUAAUACGUAGGUGGCAAGCGUUAUCCAGAUUUAUUGGGCGUAAAGGGAACGCAGGCGGUCUUUUAAGUCUGAUGUGAAAGCCUUCGGCUUAACCGGAGUAGUGCAUUGGG
RNAcentral lists this ribosomal RNA (305 nucleotides) under uncultured bacterium. RNAcentral's name for it is "bacterial SSU rRNA". It matches the Rfam family "Bacterial small subunit ribosomal RNA", at positions 333 to 630 of the family's 1533-position model. The record is from RNAcentral.